AGGGUGGGAGCUGGGGUGGGGGGAAGGUAGAGGAGGAGGGUCCCUGCGCAUGCGUAGACUGAGUGAAGGCAGACCCCACCCCCACCCCUCCCCACUGCCUGGCGUUCCCUAGGGAUUGUCGAGUGCGUGUCAUUUCCCCCUGGGACUGGGGACUGGCCUAGGUGUGAUUACAGAGCAUGCCGGGAGCCAGAGUCCGCCUAGGAGCUCUCCUGGGACCACAAUUCCCAAUAUCCUCCGCGUCAUUGGCCCACCCCCGGGCCUCUUUGACAACCAUUUGAACCAAUGGAGAACGGAAACUUUAAGACGCGAAGACGUUAAAUCAAUGGCAAGCGAACGGGGUGGGCGCUUUACGUCACACCCUUUCCCUAAGUCCAGUGUGGGCUCGCCCCAAACCGGGUGGCGGCCGGCUGGACUCUCCGGGCUCCAGCCCCCGGCUCAGGGCCCUGGCUAACAUUCCUUCCUCUGGCUGGGCCGGCCCGGGGGCGGUGAGUGGAUGGCUGCAGGCCUGGGGAGGUCAGCGUUGGAGAAGGGACUGACUGGUGGCUCAUGCUGGAAACUUGGGGAAGCAGGUGGGUGGUCUGCGUACAGGACGCUUCCCCCCUCCGUUCAGAGGAGCAGCUGACAUCUGUGCAGAGGGCUAGGAGCAGGGGGCAGGGGGCCAGACAGUACCGCCCCCCCUUUACCGAUGACGAAACUGACACCCCGACUCAAGAAAGGGGCUUCUUCCCCAAGGUCACAUGGUUGGGAAGCCCCGGAGUCCAGCCUGGGAUCUUCUUAGUCAAUCAUCAGCAAGCAUUUAUGCAGCGCCUGCUGUAUGCCGGGCACUGUGCUAGGAGCUGAGAAACAGGGAUUGAUGACACUGGAUGAUGUGGCUGGGGACGUCCGGGAGGAGUGGGUUGUCUGGACCCUGCCCAGAGAAUCCUCUGCAGGGUUGCCAUCCAGCAGGGUUAGAAGAAUGGGCUCUGAAUGGGAUUUCCAGACCCACUGUUAUCUCCCAGCUUGAGCAGAAAGAAGAGCCGUGGGUCCUGGAUCUCCAGAGCUUAGAAGAGGGGGAGAUCCUGAGAGAAGCUCACACGGACUUUGAGAACCAGGUGGAAAAGCUGAACCAGGAAGUUUCUGAGGCAGCAGAACAAUUUGGGCCAUCUUUAGGAAGGCCCCAGAAAGAUAUUUCUCAGAAUCCUGAUUGGGAAAGAAAAUGGGAAAGGGAGCAUGUAUUAGAAAGACAACAUGGACCUCUUGCAGGAGAGGGACAAAGGGAACUCCUUUCAAAGGAGAGACAUUUAAGUAAGCUCCUAGGUAGAUAUGUAGGUGAAAAACCCAAUGUGUGUGCAGAAUGUGGAAAAAGCUUUAACCAGACUUCUUAUCUUAUGAGACACCUGAGAACCCAUACUGGAGAAAGGCCAUAUAAGUGCCUUGUAUGUGGGAAAGCCUUCAAACAGAGCUCAGACCUUGUCACCCACCGGCGAACACACACUGGAGAGAAACCCUACAAAUGUAAUGGGUGCGAGAAAAGCUUUGGUGACAGCUCAACUCUCAUCAAGCAUCAGAGGACCCACACAGGCGAGAGACCUUAUGAGUGCCCAGACUGUGGAAAGACCUUCAGUCGGAAGCCACACCUUAUCAUGCACCAAAGAACCCACACAGGAGAGAAGCCCUAUAAAUGUCUUGAGUGUCAGAAAAGCUUUAGUCGGAGUUCAAAUUUCAUUACUCAUCAAAGGAUCCAUACAGGAGAGAAGCCCUAUACGUGUAACGACUGUGGGGAGAGGUUUAGCCAGAGCUCAGAUUUGGUUAAGCACCAAAGAACCCACACAGGAGAGCGACCUUAUAAAUGUCCCGAGUGUGGCAAAGGCUUCCGAGACAGUUCCCAUUUUGUAGCCCAUAUGAGCACUCACUCAGGAGAAAGACCCUUUAGCUGUCCUGAAUGUGAUAAAAGUUUCAGUCAGAGUUCUCACCUUGUCACCCACCAGAGAACACACACUGGGGAGAGACCGUAUAAGUGUGAUGACUGUGGGAAAGGAUUCACUGACAGUUCUGCCCUCAUUAAGCACCAACGGAUCCACACAGGAGAAAGACCCUAUAAAUGUGGGGAAUGUGGGAAGAGCUUCAAUCAGAGUUCCCAUUUUAUUACCCAUCAGAGAAUCCACUUGGGGGAGAGACCCUAUAAAUGUCCAGACUGUGGCAAGAGCUUUAACCAGCGUUCACACUUCAUAACACAUCAGAGGACACACACAGGUGAAAAACCCUUUCAGUGCACCAAGUGUGAGAAGAGCUUUCGGCAGAAAGCACAUCUUUUAUCUCAUCAAAACACCCAUUUAACUUAAGUAAUAAUACCCUUUAGUUGAUCCAUUUCUCUUGGUCAACCUCUGUAAGCCCUAGUGAGUAACUUCAGCUACCCAAAACAGAACUCCCGGAAGCAGUCAUGACCAUUUUUCCGUAGCCCAUCCUAACUACCUGUUCCUCAGAUUGGAGAUGAGUCUCUGAUAAUGCCUCGUAUGUUACUUUGCACAGAGAGGACAGGCAGAAGCAGUUGGAUGCUGGUACACAGUGUGUGGCACAUAGACAUAUGAUUAAUAAAUGCUUGCUGAUUGAUACUCUAGAGGCUUGGUACACACUUAUCAAGAGACAGGAAGUAGGUGUGGACUAGCUAAGUUAUUAAUGGUCUGGGCCCAUAGCCUUUAACAAUUUAGUGUGCAUCUCAGUGGGGGCUUCGUUGAAAGCAAGGAAGGAUUUGUAUAAAACCGGAAAAGGGUAUUGGUUUGUAUUUUUCCAGGCAUCACUCAGCUGUGUCCUUGGGACAAAAGGAAGCAUGGUAGGUUGAAAAGAUGGGGUGCGGGUGGAAAGACUUAUAGAAGCUUUUUCCAAAGCUUAUCUAAAGCUGGUCCUUAUUGGACUGUCCAAGGUUAUUCCCGAGUUGAUUGUACUUUUGUUAUUCUCAUUUUCUGAGGCAUAUAGACUGUUCAGCAUACCAAAGGCACUUGGAAGAGGACGGUAGUUUGGUGGAAUUGAAAUCAUCAAAAGGGCUAAGUGAUAACAGGACUCAGAAUCUCUGGGACAACAGAAUGGGAAAUGGGAGCCCAUUUCCUCAGUCUGCUGGGAGAUUUGUCCCUUACACCAAUAAUUAUGUGCUUAUGUAACCUGAGUCCCUGAUUCUAUGCAUUUUUGUCUCCCUCUAUUUAACAGGAAUAAAUUCCUUAAGUCUUAAGAAUGCUUUUCUUCUCCUGGGUUUGGACCACCACCUCAUUAGGUGAUUGAGCAGCAAUCCUGAGAGAUGGACCUUUCAACCUUGGAGUUCUGGGCUCUUCAGUCAUUGUCCCCUGCCCCUUUGGGAGAUGCUCACUACAGCCGGCUGAGAUUUGCAGCCCUGCAACAUUGCCAAGAGAACAAGAAAUGGGUCUUUGUGCUGAGGGGUGGCUUGGGAUCUUUCAGGGCACAAAACAGUUUCCCAGCAGCAGUCCAACCCACUAUGUCCCUCCUAUUAAAUUCUAGGCCUAACUCAGUGUCCCCUUGGAGUGCCUGUCCCAAGUACAGGUACCGAUGUAUUAACUCAGUGAACCAGCUCCUCCAACUAAAUGUCACAGUGUGGACAAUAGGCAUAUUUAUUGAUUUCGAUUUUUUUCUGUACGGAUAGCUAAGUUGACCUCUUUCAAGUGAGUUAUUCAGUAAACAUUUAUUAAACUCCUUCUAGUGUGUCAGUGAGUCUUUAAUGAGAAUUAACGAAUGUUCAGGGCCCUAAUAUAAUUUGUCUAAUAUCAGUCAAUAGGAGCAUCCGGAAUAUCUCACUCCAUGUGGAUAGUAAAGAUCUAGUCCAUUUGACUUCUUGCACAAAGAUGAUGGUCAUACCCUGGAUAAUAAUAGGAAAGGAGGAAGAUGAGGGGAGAGGUUGGGCCUCAAGCCAAUGAAUUCUGGUUUUGGAUACGAUGAGCUUGAGAUGCUAAUGGGAAAUCCAGUUUAAGGUUUAUUUUGUCCUUUGUUCUCAGAGGACCAUGACAUUGGGAGGUGAUGUCAUGAUUUGCAGUGAAUUGGAUUUAAGUGAGGGAGGGCUGUGCAAAGUCACCAACCUCACUCUUUC
RNA transcript from Dromiciops gliroides (monito del monte), 4069 nucleotides. It is a transcript of the gene named zinc finger protein 774, with no coding region annotated. NCBI's taxonomy places the organism in Eukaryota, Metazoa, Chordata, Mammalia, Microbiotheria, Microbiotheriidae. The record is from RefSeq and is a predicted model, not a curated record. The transcript is spliced from 5 exons.